GUGCUUGCUUCGGCAGCACAUAUACUAAAAUUGGAACGAUGCAGAGAAGAUUAGCAUGGUCCCCGAAGAUUUAAAACAAACACAAGGCUUAGGAAGUAUUCCUUCUUUUG
This 110-nucleotide small nuclear RNA is filed under the name Aotus nancymaae (Ma's night monkey). Lineage: Eukaryota; Metazoa; Chordata; Mammalia; Primates; Aotidae. The record is from RNAcentral.